AGGCAGCAGUGGGGAAUAUUGCACAAUGGGGGAAACCCUGAUGCAGCGACGCCGCGUGAGUGAAGAAGUAUUUCGGUAUGUAAAGCUCUAUCAGCAGGGAAGAAAAUGACGGUACCUGACUAAGAAGCCCCGGCUAACUACGUGCCAGCAGCCGCGGUAAUACGUAGGGGGCAAGCGUUAUCCGGAUUUACUGGGUGUAAAGGGAGCGUAGACGGCAGCGCAAGUCUGGAGUGAAAUCCCAUGGCUUAACCAUGGAACUGCUUUGGAAACUGUGCAGCUAGAGUGCAGGAGAGGUAAGCGGAAUUCCUAGUGUAGCGGUGAAAUGCGUAGAUAUUAGGAGGAACACCAGUGGCGAAGGCGGCUUACUGGACUGUAACUGACGUUGAGGCUCGAAAGCGUGGGGAGCAAACAGGAUUAGAUACCCUGGUAGUCCACGCUGUAAACGAUGAUUACUAGGUGUUGGGGGACCAAGGUCCUUCG
This 480-nucleotide ribosomal RNA is filed under the name uncultured bacterium. RNAcentral's name for it is "bacterial SSU rRNA". It matches the Rfam family "Bacterial small subunit ribosomal RNA", at positions 346 to 842 of the family's 1533-position model. The record is from RNAcentral.